GCGUCGCUGCGCGGUGCGUUAGAAACACUAUAUCCCCGGGGCCUUACGCAUUCCUAAGGGAGCUGUCCCUGCCUUGGCCCGUGGGCUUGGGCACAACGGCGCCCACCUACUUUGUAGGUUCUCCGGGAUUGCACGCUUUCGACGGCCGACGCGGCACGCG
This 160-nucleotide non-coding RNA is filed under the name Pseudovibrio exalbescens. RNAcentral describes it as "Nesiotobacter exalbescens 6S / SsrS RNA". It matches the Rfam family "6S / SsrS RNA". Rfam says of the family: E. coli 6S RNA was the first non coding RNA to be sequenced, but its function was unknown until recently. It consists of 184 nucleotides that fold into an extended hairpin structure with a large single-stranded internal bulge. The record is from Rfam by way of RNAcentral. Lineage: Bacteria; Pseudomonadati; Pseudomonadota; Alphaproteobacteria; Hyphomicrobiales; Stappiaceae.